Non-coding RNA from Drosophila navojoa, 125 nucleotides. The record is from RefSeq and is a predicted model, not a curated record. NCBI's taxonomy places the organism in Eukaryota, Metazoa, Arthropoda, Insecta, Diptera, Drosophilidae.
GAAGUAUCUUUGCUGUUGCUGCGCUAUAUUAAAUCAAAAUCGAAAUGGUUAUUUAUUUUGAUUGAGCCAACAGGGCCGCUAAGAUUUAAGUUCAUCUUCAAGCGGUAGUAAGCAGCUCGUACAAA